AACGAACGCUGGCGGCAUGCCUAACACAUGCAAGUCGAACGAGACCUUCGGGUCUAGUGGCGCACGGGUGCGUAACGCGUGGGAACCUGCCCUUAGGUUCGGAAUAACUCCCCGAAAGGGGUGCUAAUACCGGAUAAUGUCUUCGGACCAAAGAUUUAUCGCCUUUGGAUGGGCCCGCGUUGGAUUAGCUAGUUGGUAGGGUAAAAGCCUACCAAGGCGACGAUCCAUAGCUGGUCUGAGAGGAUGAUCAGCCACACUGGGACUGAGACACGGCCCAGACUCCUACGGGAAGCAGCAGUGGGGAAUAUUGGACGAUGGGCGAAAGCCUGAUCCAGCAAUGCCGCGUGAGUGAUGAAGGCCUUAGGGUUGUAAAGCUCUUUUACCCGGGAUGAUAAUGACAGUACCGGGAGAAUAAGCGCCGGCUAACUCCGUG
This 433-nucleotide ribosomal RNA is filed under the name uncultured bacterium. Its description in RNAcentral is "partial 16S ribosomal RNA". It matches the Rfam family "Bacterial small subunit ribosomal RNA", at positions 29 to 507 of the family's 1533-position model. The record is from RNAcentral.